RNAcentral lists this non-coding RNA (766 nucleotides) under Dryops luridus. Lineage: Eukaryota; Metazoa; Arthropoda; Insecta; Coleoptera; Dryopidae. The record is from RNAcentral.
GCUUAGAAAUUUAGUUAAUAAUUUUUGUUCAUGUAAAUUUUAGUGUGAAUAUGGGUUGAACUUAAAAAGUUAAUUUAUAUUUUUAUUUGCAGUGUUUUAUUUUAAAAAUUCAAGAAAUUGGGAUUUAGAGAAUUAUUAGAGUACUAACUUAAUUUGUGCCAGCAGUUGCGGUUACACAAAUAGUGCAAUUAAAUAUUAUUAGUUAAAUAAUUAAUAGAGAUUAUUUUUAGUUGAUUUUUAAUUUUAAGGGGUGAAAUAUAAAAAUUAAUUUUAAGUUAAAAAUAAGGUUAUGAAGUUAUUAAAUUUCUUUUUAAACUAGGAUUAGAUACCCUAUUAUUUGAAAUGUAAAUUAUUUUACUUGAUUAGUAUUAGUUAUGUUCUUGAAAAUUAAAGAUUUUGGCGGUAUUUUAGUCUAAUCAGAGGAACCUGUUCUAUAAUUGAUAGUCCACGAUUUACUUUACUUGAUCUAGAAAUUUGUAUAUCGUCGUAGUUUGAAUAUUUUAUAAGAAUUUUAAUAUUCAGUUUUUUAUAUAAAAAUAUAAAUCAGAUCAAGGUGCAGUUUAUGAUAAAGAAGAAAUGGGUUACAAUAAAAUUAUUUUUGGUUUAUUAAAUGAAAAAUUGAUAUUAAAUUGGAUUUGAAAGUAAUAUUUUUAAAUUUAUAAAUAUGAUUUUGGCUCUAAAAUAUGCACAUAUCGCCCGUCGCUUUCAUUUUAGUUGAGAUAAGUCGUAACAAAGUGGGUGUACUGGAAAGUGUACCUAGCAAGAC